This 380-nucleotide ribosomal RNA is filed under the name uncultured eukaryote. RNAcentral's name for it is "partial 18S ribosomal RNA". It matches the Rfam family "Eukaryotic small subunit ribosomal RNA", at positions 592 to 976 of the family's 1831-position model. The record is from RNAcentral.
CAAUAGCGUAUAUUAAAGUUGUUGCGGUUAAAAAGCUCGUAGUUGGAUUUCUGCUGAGAACGACCGGUCCGCCCUCUGGGUGUGUAUCUGGCUCUUUCUUGGCAUCUUCUUGGUGAACGUUGCUGCACUUGACUGUGUGGAGCGCUACCCAGGACUUUUACUUUGAGGAAAUUAGAGUGUUUCAAGCAGGCAUACGCCUUGAAUACAUUAGCAUGGAAUAAUAAGAUAGGACCUCGGUUCUAUUUUGUUGGUUUCUAGAGCUGAGGUAAUGAUUAAUAGGGAUAGUUGGGGGCAUUCGUAUUUAACUGUCAGAGGUGAAAUUCUUGGAUUUGUUCAAGACGAACCAAUGCGAAAGCAUCUGCCCAGGAUGUUUUCAUUAA